CGUCUAGGUGGGAAAAUAAGUUAGGUGUGAAAGCCAUGGGCUCAACCCGUGAAUUGCAUCUAAAACUGUUUUUCUUGAGUUCGGGAGAGGAGUGCGGAAUUCCAGGUGUAGCGGUGAAAUGCGUAGAUAUCUGGAAGAACACCAGUGGCGAAGGCGGCACUCUGGCCUAUAACUGACACUAAAGCGCGAAAGCGUGGGGAGCGAACAGGAUUAGAUACCCGAGUAGUCC
RNAcentral lists this ribosomal RNA (229 nucleotides) under uncultured bacterium. Its description in RNAcentral is "partial 16S ribosomal RNA". It matches the Rfam family "Bacterial small subunit ribosomal RNA", at positions 568 to 796 of the family's 1533-position model. The record is from RNAcentral.